This 1247-nucleotide long non-coding RNA is filed under the name Monodelphis domestica (gray short-tailed opossum). RNAcentral describes it as "lncRNA (ENSMODG00000045217.1)". Lineage: Eukaryota; Metazoa; Chordata; Mammalia; Didelphimorphia; Didelphidae. The record is from RNAcentral.
CAGUUGCUGUUGGGGACUGAUUACUGGGUAACACCUUUGUUCUUUUUUCCUUCCACUAGACUGGACAACUUUAAUGGAGACCUGACCUGACGGAAGGUGUCAACCCCUUUCAACUUUCUUCUUUGACUUUGAAAUCGUCCCUCUUAUUAUACAACUUAGAGACAGUCUUCUGUAAACUAAAAUAUCUAAUUUAUUUCUUAGAAAGGAAAGACAGGGAAAGAGAGAGACAGGGUAGAGGGAUCAAGAAGACCCUGCCAACUAUUCCCUAAUGGUUAUUUUUAGAUGGUGGGAUCAAACUGUCUUUCGAGGAAAAUAUAUUUCCCCUCAGGGAAAUGAUGAUCCAGGGUGAGCUUCAGUACACGGCAAAAACACUUUACAUCAGCACAGCUAGGUAAAAAGGGUAUUAGAAGAGCAACUCUCCUCCCUAGCACUUUUCAGAGUCUUUGGUAAGACAGUGACCAGAAUCAGUUCUGGUCAACAGUUUUUCUGCUUUUGAAUCUUCCAUGGAAUUCUCAAUUCUCCCUUCCCCCACCAGCUUCCUGAAUGUUCUUUCUGCCUCUCCUAGGUCCAUCUUCUUUAAAUCUCAGAUUUUCUCUGCUUUUAACCAUUUCUAUUGAUUACAAAAUCCCUUUUUAAGUUUCCACUAAUCAAUUUUUCAAAACUACCCAUUUCUGGGAAAAUUCCUCUUUGGUAAAACUGAAAACAAAAACAGAAAGAAAAUCAAAAAUUAAGUUCUGGAUAAUAAGAUUUGUUCAGCAAUUUUGAAAAUAUUCUAGCUGUGGCCUACCUGUUUUCCUAAGGAUGGUAACACUCUCCUUAAUUCAAGAAAACUCAAAAUGAUUGGAUGCAAAGUCAUCUUCUUUUGGAGUCUGGCCCAUUCUAUUCCCCUGAUGGAAUUUGCUGAUAAUAUUCAAGAAAAAAAUCAAGGCAGAAUCAUCAGAGGAAUCAGUACUCUGUAUAUUUUAUAGACUGUUCUGUAGAAGCUAAUUACUCUAGAUUUUCUAGGCCUUCUUCUACUUCAAUUGUCCCUUCAGUAAUCUCCACUUAAAUUGCCAGAGACUCCAACUCGUCAUUUAUAAUACAGAAAAAAGACUUCAUAUUCCCAGGGAAUUGACAGCUUAUCACAUAAAAUGUGUUCCAUCUGCCACUUCAACAAUGAAUAAGUGAACCUCCUCUUUGUCCUUCAUGCUAUCUGCCUUAAUUUGGGAUGAUUUAGAGUAUGUACAAAUUCUCAGUAAUUACAAAAC